UACGUAGGGCGCAAGCGUUAUCCGGAAUUAUUGGGCGUAAAGAGCUCGUAGGUGGUUUGUCGCGUUGUUCGUGAAAACCGGGGGCUUAACCCUCGGCGUGCGGGCGAUACGGGCAGACUGGAGUACUGCAGGGGAGACUGGAAUUCCUGGUGUAGCGGUGGAAUGCGCAGAUAUCAGGAGGAACACCGGUGGCGAAGGCGGGUCUCUGGGCAGUAACUGACGCUGGAGGAGCGAAAGCGUGGGGAGCGAACAGG
This 254-nucleotide ribosomal RNA is filed under the name uncultured bacterium. RNAcentral's name for it is "partial 16S ribosomal RNA". It matches the Rfam family "Bacterial small subunit ribosomal RNA", at positions 524 to 776 of the family's 1533-position model. The record is from RNAcentral.